CAUAUGGAGAGUUUGAUCCUGGCUCAGGAUGAACGCUGGCGGCGUGCCUAAUACAUGCAAGUCGAACGGAGUUAUAGAUAUAAGCUUGCUUAAAUUUAUAACUUAGUGGCGAACGGGUGAGUAAUACAUAAAUAACCUGCCCCGAUGUCUGGAAUAACAGUUGGAAACGACAGCUAAUGCCGGAUAUGAUAAUAUGGAGCAUUCUAAAUUAUUGAAAGAUGGGAUACAUCGCAACGGGAUGGAUUUAUGGCGCAUUAGUU
This 260-nucleotide ribosomal RNA is filed under the name Erysipelothrix sp. RNAcentral's name for it is "partial 16S ribosomal RNA". It matches the Rfam family "Bacterial small subunit ribosomal RNA", at positions 1 to 246 of the family's 1533-position model. Lineage: Bacteria; Bacillati; Bacillota; Erysipelotrichia; Erysipelotrichales; Erysipelotrichaceae. The record is from RNAcentral.